GGUGGGGUUCUUUUUAGCUGCGCUCCUUAACAUGCAGUCGAACGGCAGCACGGGGGCAACCCUGGUGGCGAGUGGCGAACGGGUGAGUAAUACAUCGGAACGUGUCCUGUAGUGGGGGAUAGCCCGGCGAAAGCCGGAUUAAUACCGCAUACGCUCUACGGAGGAAAGGGGGGGAUCUCAGGACCUCCCGCUACAGGGGCGGCCGAUGGCAGAUUAGCUAGUUGGUGGGGUAAAGGCCUACCAAGGCGACGAUCUGUAGCUGGUCUGAGAGGACGACCAGCCACACUGGGACUGAGACACGGCCCAGACUCCUACGGGAGGCAGCAGUGGGGAAUUUUGGACAAUGGGCGAAAGCCUGAUCCAGCAAUGCCGCGUGUGUGAAGAAGGCCUUCGGGUUGUAAAGCACUUUUGUCCGGAAAGAAAACCUCCGCCCUAAUAUGGUGGGGGGAUGACGGUACCGGAAGAAUAAGCACCGGCUAACUACGUGCCAGCAGCCGCGGUAAUACGUAGGGUGCAAGCGUUAAUCGGAAUUACUGGGCGUAAAGCGUGCGCAGGCGGUCCGCUAAGACAGAUGUGAAAUCCCCGGGCUUAACCUGGGAACUGCAUUUGUGACUGGCGGGCUAGAGUAUGGCAGAGGGGGGUAGAAUUCCACGUGUAGCAGUGAAAUGCGUAGAGAUGUGGAGGAAUACCGAUGGCGAAGGCAGCCCCCUGGGCCAAUACUGACGCUCAUGCACGAAAGCGUGGGGAGCAAACAGGAUUAGAUACCCUGGUAGUCCACGCCCUAAACGAUGUCAACUAGUUGUUGGGGAUUCAUUUCCUUAGUAACGUAGCUAACGCGUGAAGUUGACCGCCUGGGGAGUACGGUCGCAAGAUUAAAACUCAAAGGAAUUGACGGGGACCCGCACAAGCGGUGGAUGAUGUGGAUUAAUUCGAUGCAACGCGAAAAACCUUACCUACCCUUGACAUGUAUGGAACCCUGCUGAGAGGUGGGAGUGCCCGAAAGGGAGCCA
RNAcentral lists this ribosomal RNA (1010 nucleotides) under Paraburkholderia sediminicola. RNAcentral describes it as "bacterial SSU rRNA". It matches the Rfam family "Bacterial small subunit ribosomal RNA", at positions 22 to 1029 of the family's 1533-position model. The record is from RNAcentral. Lineage: Bacteria; Pseudomonadati; Pseudomonadota; Betaproteobacteria; Burkholderiales; Burkholderiaceae.